Molecule: ribosomal RNA, 540 nt
Filed under: Starmerella meliponinorum
Lineage: Eukaryota; Fungi; Ascomycota; Dipodascomycetes; Dipodascales; Trichomonascaceae
Description: eukaryotic LSU rRNA
Rfam family: Eukaryotic large subunit ribosomal RNA
Source: RNAcentral
UUGGUGGCAUAUCAAUAAGCGGAGGAAAAGAAACCAACAGGGAUUGCCUUAGUAACGGCGAGUGAACAGGCAAGAGCUCAGAUUUGAAAGCCUUUUUGGCAUUGUAUUCUGAAGUAUUUAUCCUGAGUAAUGAUGUCUAAGUCUUCUGGAAAGGAGCGCCAUGGAGGGUGAUAGCCCCGUGUGACAUCCCACUCAUUGUAGGAUUUAUACGUGGAGUCGAGUUGUUUGGGAAUGCAGCCCUCAAACGGGUGGUAUGCUCCAUCUAAAGCUAAAUAUCUGUGAGAGACCGAUAGCGAACAAGUACUGUGAAGGAAAGAUGAAAAGAACUUUGAAAAGAGAGUGAAAAAGUACGUGAAAUUGUUGAAAUGGAAGGGUAGGCCGCUAACCAUGUAGAACCGUGUUUGGGGGGAAGAUAAAAGCUGAAGAAUGUGGCUCCUCGGAGUGUUAUAGCUUCAGUCAAUAUUCCCAUACCGAGCGCGAGGAUCUCAGGUUCUACUAAAUGGUGSUMYAYCACCCGUCUUGAAACACGGACGCAACCAA